RNAcentral lists this ribosomal RNA (468 nucleotides) under uncultured bacterium. RNAcentral's name for it is "partial 16S ribosomal RNA". It matches the Rfam family "Bacterial small subunit ribosomal RNA", at positions 28 to 507 of the family's 1533-position model. The record is from RNAcentral.
GACGAACGCUGGCGGCGUGCUUAACACAUGCAAGUCGAACGGAAAGGCCCUGCUUUUGUGGGGUGCUCGAGUGGCGAACGGGUGAGUAACACGUGAGUAACCUGCCCUUGACUUUGGGAUAACUUCAGGAAACUGGGGCUAAUACCGGCUAGGUGCUCCUGCUGCAUGGUGGGGGUUGGAAAGUUCCGGCGGGUGGGGAUGGACUCGCGGCUUAUCAGCUAGUUGGUGGGGUAGUGGCUUACCAAGGCUUUGACGGGUAGCCGGCCUGAGAGGGUGACCGGCCACAUUGGGACUGAGAUACGGCCCAGAGUCCUACGGGAGGCAGCAGUGGGGAAUAUUGCACAAUGGGCGGAAGCCUGAUGCAGCGACGCCGCGUGCGGGAUGACGGCCUUCAGGUUGUAAACCGCUUUCGCCUGUGACGAAGCGUGAGUGACGGUAAUGGAUAAAGAAGCACCGGCUAACUACGUG